RNAcentral lists this ribosomal RNA (242 nucleotides) under uncultured Bacteroidales bacterium. RNAcentral describes it as "partial 16S ribosomal RNA". It matches the Rfam family "Bacterial small subunit ribosomal RNA", at positions 796 to 1041 of the family's 1533-position model. Lineage: Bacteria; Pseudomonadati; Bacteroidota; Bacteroidia; Bacteroidales. The record is from RNAcentral.
CGCACAGUAAACGAUGAAUACUAGCUGUUUGCGAUACACUGCAAGUGGCACAGCGAAAGCGUUAAGUAUUCCACCUGGGGAGUACGCCGGCAACGGUGAAACUCAAAGGAAUUGACGGGGGCCCGCACAAGCGGAGGAACAUGUGGUUUAAUUCGAUGAUACGCGAGGAACCUUACCCGGGCUUGAAUUGCAUCUGAAUACAGCGGAAACGUUGUAGCUAGCAAUAGCAGAUGUGAAGGUGC